UUCAAUGGUUUUGUUUGGUGUGAUUUAGUACACAGAUAAAUCAUCUUCCAGAGGAGGCGAGGAGGAGGUAACGCGGGGUGAAGAGGCCCCUUUCUCCCCUUUCCCCUUUCGGGUUACAGUUACUCUUAGAGGUGCGAUUCUCACAAGACAUGGAGCACGGAGCCCCGUUCAAACACAGUCCGUUUUCAAUCCUCUGAACCUCAUGGUGGAAGAGGGAGAUUAUAAAAGUCAGUGACUCCUGAGUUUCCUGAGUGGGAGUCAGUAGACUGCACCACCGCGUGGUUAAGGUGUAUUUCGAGCACAUUUUAUUUCACCCCGGGGGAACUGACUGCUAACGGUCCCUUCGUCUUAGUUUUCUGGAGGCCUUUUUUCUCCCUAGCCUUUACGCGCCUUCAGCUCUCCCGCCUUCCAGGAGCAGUGGAGGAGACACGGGGGUUGGUGCACCUACGUGGUUUGACUUCCCGAAAUACUAAGGCUGAUGGAUCAGUAAAUGCUUCAAGGAGCACACACUUAUUUCUUGGCAAUCUUGUAGCAAAUAGAGAAUAGGCUUUCCUGCAUAGUGUCCUCUCAAGCUUUCCCCAUGUUUGAAAACUACCCCCCUCAGUUAAAUAUUCAAGUGAAACCAUUGAUUAGAAUAAAAAACGUCAGUAGCUAUUAAAACAAGAUCCACUUCUACGACAGCAUAAGCCAAUUGAUGGUGGAAAUGUUGGUAAUAAACGAAGGUUUUGUUCAGUGGGGAAAGGAAAGUUGUUUUAAAGGCUCUGAUCUCUCCUAGAAAAGCCCACCAAGCAGGGCAGUCACCAUAUCCUAAUUCAUGCACCUAACAAAUUCAUCAUAUCCUAACUCAUGCUGUUUCAAUCUGUAUUCAGCAAGCCCAUGUGUAUUCACAAUUGUUAAACUUACUAAAUGUCAAUAGCAUUUGGUUUUUAAGGAAGGGGUGGGGGGAGUUAAAAAUCUCAGUGCUCCUAAGUUGGUCUUAUUGCCAUUAUUUGUGUAUUCCAUGAAUGCUGGAAUGACUGUUAGGUUUAGACAGAACUACUUAAGCAGAAAGAAGUGAAAAGAAGAAAAAGAUUAAACCAGCAACUGCAUCAGCAGCAUCAUUACCUAGCUACUGUUUAAAAUACACAUUUUGGGGGUUCCCUCCCAAAGAAUCUUGUUUAGCAGAUUUGCUGUGGGUUCAGGAAUCUGCAUUUAAAUAAGCAUUUCAGGGGGAUUAUGUUAAAGGUGGCCUGAGAAAUAUGACAGAUGCUGCUUUUUUUAAACCUUAUUUUUUACUUAUUUAUUUUUAAAUUGAGGUCCAGGCUUUUAGGUAAGAUUUUAAGUCUUAGAACCAGUCACAUUUGGGUGUCAAGAAAGAUACUGAGAGUCAGAGUGGAGGAGCUAUUUCACCACAUGAAGGAGACCCUUUAUUAUUAUUUGAUCCUUCAUGUGAAUUAGCAAGAUGUCUUAAAUUGCAGAUUUUUAAGAUCAGAACAUGGGGGCAGGGAGGAUAUGACAGGAUAUACUUAUGUUUUAAAUUUUAAAUCAUCAUAUAGAAAUUUUCCACAUAGGACAUUUAUGGAUAUUUUACCUUUGUAAAAUACAUGUAUUAUAUACACUUACCCUGUUUACACUAAAACAAUUAUCUUUUUUUUUUCUAUCUGUUGGUAAUAAGGUUUCUUUCACUUCUUUUUAUUUUCCAAACCAUGCUGGUAAACAUGACAAGACACGUAGGAGAGAAAUAACAAAACAUAGAAGUGUUUUACAAGUUUAAAUUUUGUUUGUUUAAGAUCAGGGCAAGAUUGCAGUAAAAUGUGGCCAUAACAGAAUAUAGCACUUAUGAACAAAAUGACAGGACUUUUUGUUGUCUGUGAAAGGGGGAAAUAGUAUGAAUAAUAUGACCUGAGGAUAACUUGCAUUUAUAAGAAAAAUAAAUUUUGAUUUCUUCCAAAUUGUAAUAUUUUUCUGCUUUUGAACUAGUUUGUCUCAUGUUACACCAAUGACUUUGCUGAUGUAUUAGGGAAAAAGCUUAUGUUUUGCUUUCUUUUUUCAAGUGCCACCAUUUUCUUGUUCUGUGUUUCUCUCAGGCUGCCAGAUUAUCUGACUCAGCAAAUGUACGACUCUCACCAGAUUUUAAAGAAACAGCAGCCAUUCAAAGAACAAUGACUCCCCCCAAUUGAAAGUCUUUCCCAGCCUGUGGUAUCUUUUAACCUUGAAAUAAUUGUUAAAUGUCCAUAAAACAUGGAGCACUUUGGUUUUUACUCCAUGACAUUUACAAGCUGAAUAGUUCAAGUUGGAUAUAUUUUAUAUCCAUUUAAUCCUUAAAAAUAAGUUUCUUGAAACUUUAUUCCAAAAGCGUAUGCUCAAAUUCUCUUUUUCCCUGAAUACGAUUUUGAGGAGGUUAACAGUAAUAGAGCUUUUUAACUUAAAUUAUCUUAUUUAGUUCUCACAGUAUCUUCAUGUUUUAGGUGUUUUAUUCUCAUUUCAUAGAUUUGGAAACUGAGGCUUAUAUUUCAUAGUAUUCCAAAAAAUAAUUGGCUAGUAAUUGGUAUAUAAUUGAACUAAGGGUGCUUCUCACCCCAAGGGCCUCACUUACCACUUUGUAACAGUUUGGGGAGAUCAAUAUAUAUAGUUUCAGUUCCAUCUCUGCUAGUUAAUUGCAUGAAUGAAAUAGUUCUGAAAAUAAGGCAUUAUAAUAAUAACCAAAGUUGCUAUGGGCCCUAAAAGUCAUCGAACCUCGAAAUAAAACAAAGAGAUUAAUUUCUUUCAGAAAUUUAUUUCUUACCCAGAAUAAAACUAAUUAAAACUACCUUGUAAAUAUAUACGUAAAUUACUUAUUGACACUUUGCUUUAAAAGCAAUACAUGGUAAACCUACAUACUAGCAUAGGAAUAACUUGAAGCAUGAAGUAGAAAGAUGACUUUCUUGAGUCAUCAUAGUAUUCAUAUGACCUGUGAUUAGAUUUCAUCUCUUCUGCUUACUAGGUGUGAACCAUUAGAACUAAAUACUUAAACCCCCAGUGCUUCCAUUUUCUCAUCUGUAAACCUGAAACAGUACCCUACAGUAGUCAUGAAAUUAGAAACAGAUAAAAGUGUAUAUGCAAAGGUACAUUGUAAGCUUUCAAGUAGCAUAUAUUGGUUAGUUAGUGUUAAGGUGGCAAACUAAACUAUGCCCUUAUGAAAGCACAUUAGUUUAGUAUAUGCCUAUUUUGAUAGUAAAUGCCUAGUUAAUUAGAAUUAAUUAUUGAAGGAACCUAGAAUUCUUGAACUCCAUUUUAUAGAAUAUACAUAGUAAAAUAAAAAUGUAUUUAUUUAUUCAAAUACCUGUUACAUUGCAAAGUAGCACCUAAAUUUGCCUACUUUUUUACCUACACCCAUACAGAAGCCCAAGGUGUGGCUUUUAGAGUGUAACUCAACUCUUCUAGUAUUCAUAAUCAUUAAAUAGAUAUUAAACAAUCUUCAUGUUAAUAAGAUGAAAACUCAGCUAGUUUUAGAAAACUGAAGAAAAAAAAAAGUUACUGAACUGCCUUCAAUUUACCAGAAAAUUCAAUAAUAACCCAGAAUAAUAAUUUCUGGAAGGAGCAGCUUGGGUAACUGGAUUCUUAAUUCCAUCAGGAUGGUUGUCAUCAGUCUGAAUAUCUGACUCAAUAGUUUUGGUGCAGAACAACUUUCUAAAAAUUCCUUAGUAUAAAAAAUUGUGUGUGUGUGUGUGUGUGUGUGUGUGUAUUUAGGGGAUGGAAGGAAAGAGAGGCAGAGGUAUUAAAGUCAUCCUCAAAGGUUUCAAAGCCUUCAUAAUGUCUUCUAUGGGGAUGACCUUCAAUUAUUCUUAGGCACAUUUGAAGAAAUUACUUAAAAGUAGGAUAUCUAAGUGACAAAAUACAUUAAAUAUUUUACUUCCUUAAUGCUAAAUUCACUUUAGGUGUAUAAAAUCAGUACAGAGUAAAUAUAAAGUGUA
Molecule: long non-coding RNA, 3932 nt
Organism: Choloepus didactylus (southern two-toed sloth)
Lineage: Eukaryota; Metazoa; Chordata; Mammalia; Pilosa; Megalonychidae
Exons: 3
Source: RefSeq, a predicted model, not a curated record